This 254-nucleotide ribosomal RNA is filed under the name uncultured bacterium. RNAcentral's name for it is "partial 16S ribosomal RNA". It matches the Rfam family "Bacterial small subunit ribosomal RNA", at positions 524 to 776 of the family's 1533-position model. The record is from RNAcentral.
UACGUAGGGUGCGAGCGUUGUCCGGAAUUAUUGGGCGUAAAGAGCUCGUAGGCGGUGUGUCACGUCGGCCGUGAAAACCUGCAGCUUAACUGUGGGCGUGCGGUCGAUACGGGCAUCACUGGAGUUCGGCAGGGGAGACUGGAAUUCCUGGUGUAGCGGUGAAAUGCGUAGAUAUCUGGAGGAACACCGGUGGCGAAGGCGGCAUCCUGGACCAAUACUGACGCUGAGGAGCGAAAGCCAGGGGAGCAAACGGG